UUUUAAACUUCAUGGUGGUGAAGGCAUGGUAGUGCAUAAAAGUAAGAUUUUUCCAUUGAACUUUGUCUUCCUUGACGAUAUUCUACUUUAUUCAAUAUGCUCAUUAUGUGCACGAUUCUUACCAACUGUGUAUUUAUGACCAUGAGUAACCCUCCAGACUGGACAAAGAAUGUGGAGUAUACCUUUACAGGAAUUUAUACUUUUGAAUCACUUAUUAAAAUACUUGCAAGGGGCUUUUGUUUAGAAGAUUUCACAUUUUUACGGGAUCCAUGGAAUUGGUUGGAUUUCACAGUCAUUACUUUUGCGCCUGAAGACCAUUGUGGGGGCCCUGAUCCAGUCAGUGAAGAAGCUUUCUGAUGUCAUGAUCUUGACUGUGUUCUGUCUAAGCGUGUUUGCGCUAAUAGGAUUGCAGUUGUUCAUGGGCAACCUACGAAAUAAAUGUUUGCAAUGGCCUCCAGAUAAUUCUUCCUUUGAAAUAAAUAUCACUUCCUUCUUUAACAAUUCAUUGGAUGGGAAUGGUACUACUUUCAAUAGGACAGUGAGCAUAUUUAACUGGGAUGAAUAUAUUGAGG
RNAcentral lists this long non-coding RNA (572 nucleotides) under Pan troglodytes (chimpanzee). RNAcentral's name for it is "long non-coding RNA NONPTRT010821". Lineage: Eukaryota; Metazoa; Chordata; Mammalia; Primates; Hominidae. The record is from RNAcentral.